CGGUUGAUCCUGCCGGAGGCCAUUGCUAUUGGGAUCCGAUUUAGCCAUGCUAGUUGUACGAGUUCAGACUCGUAGCGAAUAGCUCAGUAACACGUGGCCAAACUACCCUUCGGACCACGAUACCCUCGGGAAACUGAGGUUAAUAGUGGAUCACACACUCAUACUGGAAUGUCGAGUGUGUCAAACGCUCCGGCGCCGAAGGAUGUGGCUGCGGCCGAUUAGGUAGACGGUGGGGUAACGGCCCACCGUGCCAGUAAUCGGUACGGGUGAUGAGAGUCGGAGCCCGGAGACGGAAUCUGAGACAAGAUUCCGGGCCCUACGGGGCGCAGCAGGCGCGAAACCUUUACACUGCACGAAAGUGCGAUAGGGGAAUCCCAAGUGCGAGGGCAUAUUAGCCCUCGCUUUUGUUGACUCUAAGGCGGUCAACGAAUAAGAGCUGGGCAAGACCGGUGCCAACCGCCGCGGUAAUACCGGCAGCUCAAGUGAUGUCCCAUAUUAUUGGGCCUAAAGCGUCCGUAGCUGGCCGCGCAAGUCCGUCGGGAAAUCCACCUGCCCAACAGGUGGGCGUCCGGCGGAAACUGUGUGGCUUGGAACCGGAAGGCUCAGAGAGUACGUCCGGGGUAGGAGUGAAAUCCCGUAAUCCCGGACGGACUACCGAUGGCGAAAGCACUCUGAGAAGACGGCUUCGACAGUGAGGGACGAUAGCUCGGGUCUCAAACCGGAUUAGAUACCCGGGUAGUC
This 741-nucleotide ribosomal RNA is filed under the name uncultured haloarchaeon. RNAcentral describes it as "bacterial SSU rRNA". It matches the Rfam family "Archaeal small subunit ribosomal RNA", at positions 5 to 746 of the family's 1478-position model. Lineage: Archaea; Methanobacteriati; Methanobacteriota; Halobacteria; Halobacteriales; Halobacteriaceae. The record is from RNAcentral.